CACGUAGGGUGCGAGCGUUGUCCGGAAUUAUUGGGCGUAAAGAGCUUGUAGGCGGUUUGUCGCGUCUGCUGUGAAAUCUCAAGGCUCAACCUUGAGCUUGCAGUGGGUACGGGCAGACUAGAGUGUGGUAGGGGAGACUGGAAUUCCUGGUGUAGCGGUGAAAUGCGCAGAUAUCAGGAGGAACACCAGUGGCGAAGGCGAGUCUCUGGACGACUCCUGAACAGCUGAGGCACGAAAGCU
RNAcentral lists this ribosomal RNA (240 nucleotides) under uncultured bacterium. Its description in RNAcentral is "partial 16S ribosomal RNA". It matches the Rfam family "Bacterial small subunit ribosomal RNA", at positions 524 to 761 of the family's 1533-position model. The record is from RNAcentral.